UAUAUUCGUUAGAGAUAGUAAUACUAGUGCCAGAAGUAGUAGUAGUAGUAGCAGCAGUAGUAGUAAUAGUAGUAGUAGUAGUAGUUAGAUUAGGCAAAGUUUGAUUAUGCUUGCUUUGGUUUGUCGUAGUAGUAGUAGCAGAGAGAGAGAGAAAAAAAAAAUUAUUCUCGAUUAUGUAUAAUUAUUUAGAUAACAAAUUGUAAUUGUUCUUGUUUUUGUUGUUGUUAUGAGAUUAAAUGUAACGUAUUUAAUUAUUGUUAUUAUUUGUUAGUAGUAGUAGUAGUAGUAGUAGAGCCCUUUUGUAGCAUUUAAUAGCAUUAUUUGUUAGUAGUAGUAGUAGUAGUAGUAGAGCCCUUUUGUAGCAUUUAAUAGCAUUAUUUGUUAGUAGUAGUAGUAGUAGUAGUAGUAGAGCCCUUUUGUAGCAUUUAAUAGCAUUAUUUGUUAGUAGUAGUAGUAGUAGUAGUAGUAGUAGUAGUAGAGCCCUUUUGUAGCAUUUAAUAGCAAAGAAACAUAGUAAAUAAAUAAAAAGAGGUAAAAAUAGUAACAAUAACUAAUUUUGUCCCUCCAGGCUUGUUUGGCGGUGGCAGAGAAAGACCCCUCCUCUCCCUCCUCCUCCCCCCCAUCCUCUCCCACCAAGAAGACCCAAUAGUAGAAAUACAUACAAACAACAACAACAACAACAACAGCAACAACACACACACACACACACACACAAACACCUCCAGGGCUUUCUAUUGAAAGUAAAAAAAUAAGUAUUAAAUAAAACAUAUCUUUCAUUCAUAUUACUGUGUUUACUUGGCUCUUCUUAACCUAACCUUACCUACCCUACCCAUCACACACACAUACACACACACCCUCCACUCACCAAUCCACCUAUUCACACACCAAAUCGCCCACAGAUUCACGCACCAAUUCACCCACACACCCAUUCAACUACAUACUUAACUGUGUGUGUGUGUGUGUGUGUGUGUGUGUGUGGGCAGUACUAUCGAGGCACGUCACUGUUUUUUUGGGGGGGCGAGAGAGGCAGGAAACACAAGCUGGGGACUUCAGUUUGUUGGUGUGCGUCACGGUGACCGUCACGGUGUGACAAUACUGUUACUGGGAUUAUUUUACUUCAAUAUUACGUUUGUGAGACAAUACAGCGGUGCAGUUUGUGUUCAUACGGCUUAUUACUGCGUCUGCUCAGCGUGUGCAGUGUGGCAGUGUGGCCUUGUGAUCUUGGAACCUCAGGGAAAACAACAUGCAGCUAGUGAGUUAGAAUGGCUAGAACCAGAGGAUGGGGGUGUGCGUCCAGGGAGUUGAGGAGUGCCACUGCUUCAACUGAUGCUGUGGGGCCUUGAGGCAGAGGGUCCACCAGUUUCCUAGAUGGCCGCCGCCCAAGCCUUGGAAAUCAUGGGGUCGAAAGUCUUGUAAAUAUACAUGUUAAUAGCGACCAUUUUGUCCUUAUC
This is a long non-coding RNA of Scylla paramamosain (green mud crab), 1451 nucleotides long. RefSeq lists it as uncharacterized. The record is from RefSeq and is a predicted model, not a curated record. The transcript has 3 exons. NCBI's taxonomy places the organism in Eukaryota, Metazoa, Arthropoda, Malacostraca, Decapoda, Portunidae.